AGCAGCCGCGGUAAUUCCAGCUCCAAUAGCGUAUAUUAAAGUUGUUGCAGUUAAAAAGCUCGUAGUUGAAUUUCGGGAUCAAAGAAUCGGUCAUGUCUUGGUAUGUACUGGUUUUAUUGGUUCUCACCUUCUAAAGAACCAUAAUGUCAUUUAUUUGAUGUUAUGGGGAAUUAGGACUGUUACCUUGAAAAAUUAGAGUGUUUAAAGCAAGCUUACGCUUGAAUACAUUAGCAUGGAAUAAUGAAAUAGGACAUCAGAUUCUAUUUUGUUGGUUUCUAGGAUCGAUGUAAUGAUUAAUAGGGAUAGUUGGGGGCAUUAGUAUUCAAUUGUCAGAGGUGAAAUUCUUGGAUUUAUUGAAGACUAACUACUGCGAAAGCAUUUGCCAAGGAUGUUUUCAUUAAACAAGAACGAAAGUUAGGGGAUCGAAGACGAUCAGAUACCGUCGUAGUCUUAACCAUAAACUAUGCCGACUAGGGAUCGGAUGAUGUUAAUUUUAUAAUGACUCA
This 506-nucleotide ribosomal RNA is filed under the name uncultured Glomeraceae. RNAcentral describes it as "SSU rRNA". It matches the Rfam family "Eukaryotic small subunit ribosomal RNA", at positions 569 to 1078 of the family's 1831-position model. The record is from RNAcentral. Lineage: Eukaryota; Fungi; Glomeromycota; Glomeromycetes; Glomerales; Glomeraceae.